Molecule: ribosomal RNA, 253 nt
Filed under: uncultured bacterium
Lineage: Bacteria
Description: partial 16S ribosomal RNA
Rfam family: Bacterial small subunit ribosomal RNA
Source: RNAcentral
UACGGAGGAGGCAAGCGUUAUCCGGAAUGAUUGGGCGUAAAGCGUCCGCAGGUGGCAGUUCAAGUCUGCUGUCAAAGACCGGGGCUUAACUUCGGAAAGGCAGUGGAAACUGAACAGCUAGAGUAUGGUAGGGGCAGAGGGAAUUCCUGGUGUAGCGGUGAAAUGCGUAGAGAUCAGGAAGAACAUCGGUGGCGAAGGCGCUCUGCUGGACCAUAACUGACACUCAGGGACGAAAGCUAGGGGAGCGAACAGG